Lontra canadensis (Northern American river otter) is the source of this 512-nucleotide long non-coding RNA. RefSeq lists it as uncharacterized. Lineage: Eukaryota; Metazoa; Chordata; Mammalia; Carnivora; Mustelidae. The record is from RefSeq and is a predicted model, not a curated record. The transcript is spliced from 4 exons.
CUGACAGAGAAUGGGGUAGGAGUGUGAGGACAAUGGGGACCAGGGAGAAGAGAACAUGGUUAUGAAUCAGUUCAUUUAGGAGGACAAGUGUCCUUUCCCACCCUGGAGGAGGAGCAUAUGAAGAUAAUCAACAGUGAUGGAGGCCAAAAGUGAGACUGUGGCAGGAGGGAAUCACUGCCAACUGCUUACUUCCUGUUAGUCAGUCUUGUUCUUUUGAAGAGUGGGAAGCGGGACUACCAAGACUCCUCCUCCCCGGCUUCUGGGCCGUCCUGGCAGCUGCCCAAGGAGGGUCCGCAGCGACUUCUCCUGCUCCGACGGUGCAUGCGGAUGAGGUUGAGGAUGACACUGAAGUUGCAGGCGAGCACCGCGACGAUGAGGAGCAGCAGCACGGUGGCGUAGAGCUGCAGGAAGAUAAACUAAGAGGGCGGGACCCAAAUUAGGAGGAAGUGAAAAGCUCGCCUGGUUGUCCAAGGAACCAAACCUUGCCACCGCUGAGCUGUCUGUUGCCCUGC